GCCAGCUCCCAGGAGAUGCACUGAGACGACCCUGUGUCCCACACACAGUGGACACCGGGUCCUGCUGCCACACAAGCAGCUUCACUCUGAUGUGCUUCACAUUGUUCCGAGGUGAAUACCAGGAUGUCACUGAGGAGAAGACUGUUGAAACCACCAAACACAUACAUGGUGCUAGGGGGAAAAAGGGAGAGAAUGAAUUUACUGAAAACGUAUGUUACAAAUGCAUGAUACACUUUUACAGACAAAUUUCAGAUAAAUCUUACAUAUCAAAAGUCCUCUAAGAAACUAUUUUUCAAGGUUUAGAAAUCAGUAUAAUUCUCUUACCUACCAAAUUUUACCUUUUCAUCCUGACCUGUGAUCGUCAGAAUAGUUUCAAUAAACCACCUAAAAGCUGCACAUGGCAAUUUAGUAUACAGUGAAUGUUACAUCUUAAAUUAGUAGGGAAAAGAUGGACUUUUCAGUAAAUGGUUUCAAGAUAACUAAACAUAUGAAAAAGAUAAAACUGAAGCCCUUUCUCACUCUAUAUACCAGGAUAAAUUCCAAAGGGAUCAGAGAUUCACCUGAAAAAAGAAAUAACAUAAGUUCUAGAAGAAAAAAUGGGCAACUUUUCUAUAACCUGAGAGUAGGAAAAACCUCCAUAUGACUUAAAAUCCAAAAGGUAGGAGAGAAUCAAUAUAGAGAGUGCUUGAGUAACUUUAUAGGUAAAAAAUAGAAAAUUACAUUAAGCACAUGAAGAGGAGAUAUGCUCAAUAUUAGUCACAAGAGAAAUUCAAACUAAAACUAUAAUUAUGUAGCAUGUUUCAUCUAUCAGAUUUGCAAAGAAAAAGACCACAAAGAUGGGUAAGGAUGUGGGCCAACAGACAUAUGCAUACUCUGCUGUUGGGCUUGUAAAAUAGUACUAACCUACAGAGAGGAAUUUGUCAAUUUCUAACAAAAUUACCAUUUACCUUCUGAACCUGAAAUCACUUUUCUAGAGGUCUAUUACAAAGAUAUUAUAGCAAAAAAAAAAGAAAGAAAGAAAGACACAUGAAGCAAUUCAUUAAAUGAUUGUAAUAAUAAUAGGAAAAGAUUCUAACAAACCAAAAUGUCUAUCAACUGGGAUGUGAAGAAUAAGCUAUGAUACACCCACAUGAUGAAACACUAGGCAUCUGUAAAAAGGAAUGAGGAAAUUUCUAUACAUUCCUUCUGAAGUGAUCUUCAAUAUAUAUUAUAUGGGGAGGGGGAGCCAUGCAGAGAAUAGCAUAUAGAGUAUGUGGUCAUUAAUCUAUUGAGGGAAGAAGUGGAUCAAACACACAAGCACAUAGAAUUCUCUCUUUUUUAAAUAUUUAUUUUUUAGCUUUAGGUGGACACAAUAUCUUUAUUUUAUUUUUAUGUGGUGCUGAGGAUCGAACCCAGUGCCUCACGCAUGCUAGGCAAGCGCACUACUACUUGAGUCAUAUCCCUCUUUUUUUUUUUUUAAAGAAAAAUAAGAACCACACAAUUUCUCUUUAAGUAGUCUUAAAAAACCAACCCAGUAGCACUGAAUAUGACCAUGACUUAGAUUGUGGUAUUUAAAAACCAUUCUCCUUGACCCACCCUAAUUAGAAAAAAAAUCUAAUGUCAUGUCUGGAUAAAGAAAUGCUCAUAGUGAAAUUUGUAAGAUCUUCUUAGACCAGAAAGACAGACUAAGGUAGUGUCACAAAGACUCAAGAGCUACCAUGAAGAGGUGCUCACUGGCCGCAGAGGGGAAGUAUUUGAAACUUAAUAAGAAUAAUAAUUACAAUUCACAAUAGCCAAGUCAUGCCUAGAAGCCUAUUAACAGACAAAUGUAUAAAGAAAACGUGGUAUAUCUACAUAAUUGAAUUUUACUCAGCCAUAAAGAAGAAGGCAAUUAUGUUAUUUACUAGUAAAUAGACAGAACUGGAAAACAUCACGCUAAGUGAAAUAAACCAGAUUCAGAAAGUCAAAAGUUGAAUGUUUUCUCUCAUUUGUGGAAGCUAGAGAGAAAAAAGGAAUAAAAAAGGGGGACCGCAUGAAAACAGAAGGGUGAACAGUGGAGAAAAGGAAGGGGAUUGAUGGGGAGGGAGGAAAGAUGGAAAAGGGAAGGAACUUCAGAAUGAAAUUAACCAAAUUAUGUGCACAUAUGAAUGUAUCACAAUGAAUUCCAUUUUUAUGUAUAAUUUUAAUGCACCAAUAAAAAAUAGAUAACUAGAGGGAAGACCAGUAGAGGAAGGAGACCAGGGAGGGAGGAAGAGGAAAGGGAGACAUAUUGAAGUGGAGCAAAUUAUGUUACAUGCAAACAUGGAUGUCAAAAUGAACCCCACUAUUAUGUGUGACUAUAAUGCCCUGGUAAAAACAUAAAAGUAAAAAAAUAUAUAUACUUUUAAAAGAGGAAUUACAAAGCAUAUGAUUCUUUUUAAACCUUGAGUUCACUAUAAUACAUAUCUCCUAACCCAAAAGAUAAAACUUCAUUUUUCACGUGUGGACAAUGCAAAGAAAACAGUUCAUUAUUUUCAAAAUUGGUAAAUAAAGAGAAACAAUCAACCUUAUGAAGUGGUCUUGCCAUAAUCACGAAGUGAAUCUGACUGUGCUAAUUUGCGGGAAGUUCAGGUGAGAUACUGAUGUAGGUCAGCUGAGGCUGGCACCUGAGGAAUUAGCAGGAAGCAGAUUUAUUGGCUGCAGGGUCCAGAGGGGCUAUUGCCUAACGCUCUCCAGACCAGGAGCCUAGAAAUUCUUUGAACUUUACACCCAGAGGUGGGUGUGGGAUUGGAGGUUCACAUUUUUGCUAGAUUCUACAUAAAAGUAAUUUUUUUCCUUUGAGUUCUCAGAAAGUGCUUUUUGUCUUGUUUUUUAGAACAGUCAGAGGUUUACACAUUUUACCACAAAAGCAGGAAUAACAUCAUCAAGUCCACAGUUAAACUUAGCUUUUGCAAGACAGAGGAACAGGAAAUCUC
Molecule: long non-coding RNA, 2933 nt
Filed under: Marmota monax (woodchuck)
Lineage: Eukaryota; Metazoa; Chordata; Mammalia; Rodentia; Sciuridae
Source: RNAcentral